RNAcentral lists this ribosomal RNA (490 nucleotides) under uncultured bacterium. Its description in RNAcentral is "partial 16S ribosomal RNA". It matches the Rfam family "Bacterial small subunit ribosomal RNA", at positions 29 to 505 of the family's 1533-position model. The record is from RNAcentral.
AGUGAACGCUGGCGGUAGGCCUAACACAUGCAAGUCGAACGGCAGCACAGUAAGAGCUUGCUCUUACGGGUGGCGAGUGGCGGACGGGUGAGGAAUACAUCGGAAUCUACUUUUUCGUGGGGGAUAACGUAGGGAAACUUAUGCUAAUACCGCAUACGACCUACGGGUGAAAGCAGGGGAUCUUCGGACCUUGCGCGAUUGAAUGAGCCGAUGUCGGAUUAGCUAGUUGGCGGGGUAAAGGCCCACCAAGGCGACGAUCCGUAGCUGGUCUGAGAGGAUGAUCAGCCACACUGGAACUGAGACACGGUCCAGACUCCUACGGGAGGCAGCAGUGGGGAAUAUUGGACAAUGGGCGCAAGCCUGAUCCAGCCAUACCGCGUGGGUGAAGAAGGCCUUCGGGUUGUAAAGCCCUUUUGUUGGGAAAGAAAAGCAGCAGGUUAAUACCCCGCUGUUCUGACGGUACCCAAAGAAUAGGCACCGGCUAACUUCG